This 396-nucleotide ribosomal RNA is filed under the name Triticum aestivum (bread wheat). RNAcentral's name for it is "partial small subunit ribosomal RNA". Lineage: Eukaryota; Viridiplantae; Streptophyta; Magnoliopsida; Poales; Poaceae. The record is from RNAcentral.
AUGUGCGAGCAGUUCUCAUUCGAUGGCAACGUUCCUCUCUCUCCCCCGGCCCCUCCUCCUAUCUCACGAUUGCGGAGUCGGCAGCAGCGACGACACCGGAGGAACGACCGGGAGGUAACGGCUACCUCUCUCGCCCGUGGAGUGCUUCCCUUUCCCGCUCUCAUGCGGCAGCGACCCGGAGGCGAUGUGGUCGGUGCAACGAUCUGGCGCGAGCUCGGCGAUGUCAACGGCCUUCUCCAGCGUCCUCUCCACCUUCGGCGGUCUUCUCACCGCCGUGCAGGGGAGGAGGAUGAAGAUCAAGAAAGGAAAGGAAAGGAAAUCAGGAGCUUGCCUACUACCUACCAGGAAGCGGGUGAUGAAGGUGAUGGUGGAGACACGCUCCCAUCGGUGGAUUAA